UACGUAGGGUGCGAGCGUUGUCCGGAAUACUGGGCGUAAAGCGUGCGCAGGCGGUUAUGUAAGACAGUUGUGAAAUCCCCGGGCUCAACCUGGGAAUUGCAUCUGUGACUGCAUAGCUAGAGUACGGUAGAGGGGGAUGGAAUUCCGCGUGUAGCAGUGAAAUGCGUAGAUAUGCGGAGGAACACCGAUGGCGAAGGCAAUCCCCUGGACCUGUACUGACGCUCAUGCACGAAAGCGUGGGGAGCAAACAGG
RNAcentral lists this ribosomal RNA (252 nucleotides) under uncultured bacterium. Its description in RNAcentral is "partial 16S ribosomal RNA". It matches the Rfam family "Bacterial small subunit ribosomal RNA", at positions 524 to 776 of the family's 1533-position model. The record is from RNAcentral.